Molecule: ribosomal RNA, 307 nt
Filed under: uncultured eukaryote
Lineage: Eukaryota
Description: partial 18S ribosomal RNA
Rfam family: Eukaryotic small subunit ribosomal RNA
Source: RNAcentral
CAAUAGCGUAUAUUAAAGUUGUUGCAGUUAAAAAGCUCGUAGUUGGAUUUCAUGGUGGAGAAGGGAUUACCCUUCUAAGCCUAUCAGUCCUUUGGACUGUUACUGUGAGAAAAUUAGAGUGUUUCAAGCAGGCGAUUGCAGGAAUACAUUAGCAUGGAAUAACGAGUGUGUCUAGAAUCUUGGUUAAUUCUAGAUUACGAUUAAUAGGGACAGUUGGGGCAUUAGUAUUUAAUUGUCAGAGGUGAAAUUCUUGGAUUUAUUAAAGACUAACCUAUGCGAAAGCAUUUGCCAAGGAUGUUUUCAUUAA